RNAcentral lists this ribosomal RNA (467 nucleotides) under uncultured bacterium. RNAcentral describes it as "partial 16S ribosomal RNA". It matches the Rfam family "Bacterial small subunit ribosomal RNA", at positions 28 to 507 of the family's 1533-position model. The record is from RNAcentral.
GAUGAACGCUGACAGAAUGCUUAACACAUGCAAGUCAACUUGAAUUUGGGUUUUUAACUUAGGUUUGGGUGGCGGACGGGUGAGUAACGCGUAAAGAACUUGCCUCACAGCUAGGGACAACAUUUGGAAACGAAUGCUAAUACCUAAUAUUAUGAUAAUAGGGCAUCCUAUAAUUAUGAAAGCUAUAAGCGCUGUGAGAGAGCUUUGCGUCCCAUUAGCUAGUUGGAGAGGUAACGGCUCACCAAGGCGAUGAUGGGUAGCCGGCCUGAGAGGGUGAUCGGCCACAAGGGGACUGAGACACGGCCCUUACUCCUACGGGAGGCAGCAGUGGGGAAUAUUGGACAAUGGACCGAGAGUCUGAUCCAGCAAUUCUGUGUGCACGAUGAAGUUUUUCGGAAUGUAAAGUGCUUUCAGUUGGGAAGAAACAAAUGACGGUACCGACAGAAGAAGUGACGGCUAAAUACGUG